GGGCCCGCACAAGCGGUGGAGCAUGUGGUUUAAUUCGACGCAACGCGAAGAACCUUACCUGGGCUCGAAAUGUAGUGGACCGGGGUAGAAAUAUCCCUUCCUAGCAAUAGGCUGCUAUAUAGGUGCUGCAUGGCUGUCGUCAGCUCGUGUCGUGAGAUGUUGGGUUAAGUCCCGCAACGAGCGCAACCCUUAUUACCAGUUGCCAUCAUUUAGUUGGGCACUCUGGUGAGACCGCCUCGGAUAACGGGGAGGAAGGCGGGGAUGACGUCAAGUCCUCAUGGCCUUUAUGUCCAGGGCUACACACGUGCUACAAUGGCCGGUACAAACCGUCGCAAACCCGUGAGGGGGAGCUAAUCGGAAAAAGCCGGCCUCAGUUCGGAUUGGAGUCUGCAACUCGACUCCAUGAAGCUGGAAUCGCUAGUAAUCGCAGAUCAGAACGCUGCGGUGAAUACGUUCCCGGGCCUU
RNAcentral lists this ribosomal RNA (465 nucleotides) under uncultured bacterium. RNAcentral's name for it is "bacterial SSU rRNA". It matches the Rfam family "Bacterial small subunit ribosomal RNA", at positions 917 to 1382 of the family's 1533-position model. The record is from RNAcentral.